This is a long non-coding RNA of Hyposmocoma kahamanoa, 334 nucleotides long. RefSeq lists it as uncharacterized. The transcript is spliced from 4 exons. The record is from RefSeq and is a predicted model, not a curated record. Lineage: Eukaryota; Metazoa; Arthropoda; Insecta; Lepidoptera; Cosmopterigidae.
ACCCCAGUUGGACUUUUGUUCAAAGUGAACAGCGAGGGUUUGUUCACCUGCCCUGUGAAUGCUUCGCCCGUUGACUACGCCAAGGUAAGGCAGUACAAUAAAUCGCUAUGGUCUCUCUGAAAGGUGCGGGCGAGAUUGCCGACAGCUGCGCGCGCAGCUGCCCAAGGUGCGCGAGCACGUGCUUCUCCUAAUGCGCGCCAUUUCGCCCGGUCCUCAGCUCGUCGCAUUCGUUUACUGCCAUCAGCCAGCCAUCCACACGGGGACAGCGGACAGAGAAUACACAAAGAAGGUCACUAGUACUUUUAGAUUUCUGUUUUUGGAUCGAACUACUUUC